GGAACUUCCAUAUACCACCGGUGCGGCCUUAAAAAGAAAAAAAAAAAAGGCAAGCAGACUAAGGCCCAUGUUCUGGAGGCCACUCAGAGCCCUCCACAGCAUCUCGGAGGACUGCUUUCCUCCAGGGGAGUACAGAUCUCUCCCCACUUCUCUAGAGCUCCCUCGGGAGGCUCCAGAUUCCUCUUCACUGAUGAUUAGGCCGAGCAAGCAGGUGGGCUCCCUCUUCGUCUCAGUCUCCCUAUCAGGCUAAGCUCGGGCCUCCCUUUCUCAUCAAAAAGCUACCAAGAUUAGUCACCAAUCCAAGAGGGGAAUUUUUUGACCCCCCUAGACAGUAUCAUCCACAGAUCCUGGAAACAGAAGCCCCUGACCUGAGCUUGUCUUUUUAAGAGGUUCCCACACAUCGCACACACAGACACACUGAGAUUCUGCUAACCACUCAUCAGAAUGGAAAAAAACAAGAACCCACCAAUCCAAACCCGGUUUUCUGACUCUGAUGAUGUGACUACACCCUGCCCAAGAUGCAAAUGGAUCUUCAAAAAGAAGCUCAUGUUUUAUUAAGCAUCUUACUGCUUUGGUGUCUCAGACUGUGCCUGAGUGAUCAGUUCUCAGGGAGAGAGGACAGUGAGAGAGGCCCAGGACCCAGAGAGAAACCCUCACUGCUGCAGUCAGGCUGGCUUGGGAUGGGUGGAAAAUUCACUCAUUCUGCUAUCCCAGUAGGGCACCUAUUACGUGCUGGGCAGUGUUCUAAAAACUAAGGGAAAGGUAACAACAAGUGAUAUUAAGUCACCGCCUGGAUAUUGCUGUUGUUCUUUUCACUGGGAUGUUCCAAGAGAGUGAAGCAUCUUUACUUUUUUUUUUUUUUAAGCUCUCCUCACCUUCCUCACAAGCCCCUCUCCACCUGCUGGGAGUUGUGGACACUUAAAUUUGCUAAGUAAUGAUACUCAGCCUCUUCCCACUGAACAGCUCAAAUCUUCAGAAUCCUUCUCUGUUGUGCAGGCCCAUCGGGGUCUAUUGCAAGAGCCAAGCUGGGGGGGUCGAGGGGAAGCUUUGGUGCCAUGGGCUUCCUUGAGUCUGGCUGCUGCUCUGGUGGGACAAAAUGAUCUCCUUCCCGAAGGCUAAAUAGGUAAAGAGGAAAGCACCCCCACCCCUUCACUUUGUCCCUGUGAUGUUGUCUUAGUGAAUGGAGGUCACCACCUGGAGGCCUCACUGCCACCUGCCCCUCUCUUAUCCCUUGUUCUCUUCAGUCAUUCACUUUCUUUUACUUUCUUACCUGAACAUCCUCUGGUCCCCCUCCUACUGGAUUUGGCCUCUUUUCCCCAUUUGUCUGGGGCUAUAAUGGUGAAGUGACUUCCAGGUAGGGUUGACUGACGUACAAAUACCUUUUCAGUAGGGGUUCCCACUGUGGCACAGCAGGGUAAGGAUCUGGUGUUGCUGCAGCUGUGGCAUAGGUUGCAGCUGCAGCUUGGAUUUGAUCCCUGGCCUGGGAACUUUCAUAUGCUGUGAGUGUGGCUAGAAAAAAAAUUAGUAUAAGUUAUGUUCUCUGCAGUAUUUGGGAUCUGAUUAUACUAAUAAAUUAUUUGUUACUUAUCUGAAAUUCAAAUUUAACUACUGUCCUAUAUUAUACCUGGCAAUCCAACGUCUAGGAAACUUGACUGUGGAGGAGAGGAAUGAAAAACACAGCUAUUUAAUAUUUUCAAAAUACUAUGCCUGACAGAAGGCUUUGUCCUUGCUGGCCUCUUGGCUGGACAGACUUAGAGGGGCCUCAGAAAGAAGGAGGCUGCCCCGUACCUCCUUCCUAGCAAGGGUUGCUCCCAGCUCCUCAGAGGAGCCCAUUGUGUGUGUUAUAUGAAGAAAGUGGAGGAGAAGGUGAAGCAACCAACCUUGGCUUCCUGCCCUUCCCCACCCCCCAGUCACAGCCGGCAGGCUUCCCUGGGGUGUGGGGAGCCCCAUCCUGCUGGCAAAGCUAUUGCUUACCUAGAACUUUUAUGAGGACAUUUUUAUUGAGCUGUAAUUGAAAAGAAAAGAAAACUCUAAGACAUUCCAGAUUUUUCUCAGAAGCAUAUUUUAGGCGUGUGCGUGUGUGUGUGUGUGUGUGUGUGUGAGUGAGAGUGUGACAUUUAAUUUUUCUCUCCUCUUCCCUAAAUUAAGGACCAGAAUAAAGAUGAACUGAGAGUCUGGAGAGCCUGUAAAACUCUUUUCAUUAAGCAAAUAUUCUCGUGUUUGGAGAACCGGGGUUUUAUGUAAGAGGGCUGCGUUUGCCGUUACAGUCUAAUAUCCUAAUGUAAGGUUACAACCAUUUCUAAGAAACCGGUAAUAGAAUGCAGAGCCUCUUAAAUAUGUAAAACUACUUGGCAAAGUUUAUAAAUCAUAUACAUCUAUUUUAAAGAAUGUGAAAGUAAAUCCAGAUGACGGCCUUUUAGAAACAGGCCUGUUGUGACCACCUCCCUGUGCCCACUGCUUUUCUGAGAGGCUGCAAGAAAAAAAUUACGUCUCUCUCUUGGGGUCUGUGUGACCAGUCCUCCUAUCUCCCACCUGGGAAAGAUGGAGAGCUUUCUUCCCAAGCCCCUGGCUUUCUCAGCAGGAAGGAAACACAUGCAAGCAUUUCUUGAGGACCUACUAUGUGUCAGGCACGGGCUGCUUCUGUCUCCAUCCUCACAGCAGUCCUGCGCAAGGCUGGGAUCCAUCCCACUUUUGACACUUGAGGAAUGUGAGGUUCAGAGGAGCUGACUAUCUGUCUGGGCUUGCAAAGCCGGUUAAAGGAUGGAGUCCAAGAUUUAAAGAGGCAGCAUUGUCAGCGCUAUGGCUCAGGUCGCCACUGUGGUGCAGGUUCCAUCCCUGACCUGGGAACUGCUGUACACCGCAGGUGCAGGGGGAAAAAAAAAAAAAAGAUGGAAUCUGAAUGAAAACCCAAGCCCACAUGUGUCCAAGACUCCUGCUAUUCCAGCCACCCAGCUCAACAGUGGUAUAUGUUGUGAUCUCCCCGCCUGGAGAUGUACUGCUGCUUCUCAGGAGGCACCAGAAGGCACCAGGAUGCACAAAGCUGGACUGAGAGUGAGUGGGAUCAGGCCAGCCCCUGUGUGUGGUGGCUGUUUUGGGACAGGACUGCAUCCACUGACCUGUUGUCCUGCAAAGAAAAUCAUUCUUGUCAGGGCAUGCCUGUGGUCUGAGUGAAAUUCAGGAAAUGAAUAGAAGAGGUUCCUUGAGGUGCUCAAAGACAAAACUAUCAAGUGACCUCAGGGAUUCACACACUAGAAAACAAGGAAUCUCCUGGAGAAUGGGAAUCCACCAUGACUCUGGUGACCAGGUCCGUGUGGGGGUCUCAUCCGGUACAGGCUGCUCCUCAGCCUCCAAGGCUCUGGCUCUACGGGGACCCGGUCCUUCUCUGCUUGGCUUCUCAUCUCCCUGUGACCACCACCUGAAUCCCUAUGCUUGCCCAGGGCAAGAUCACCUAUCAAUGGCAGCCUCUUACAUCAGACCACCCAGGCCUCUGGCUGCCUGUGGGUCAGGAGAUGAGUAGUUAAGACCCACUUGGCUGCAAGUAACAGAGACUUGAAAAAUAGUGGCUUAACCAAGGAAAAUAUUUCUUUCUCUCUCAUGUAAAGGAAGUGUGGAGGCCGAGUAGUCCAGGACUAGAGGGAAGUCCAGCCAAUGCCAUUCACUCUCUAAGUGGCACCAUGGAGAGGAGGGGGUGGGGGGAACAUCCUUUGUAUGCAUCCUUUCCCCUUUAAAGAGACUUCUCAGCAAUUCCACACAA
Molecule: non-coding RNA, 3754 nt
Organism: Sus scrofa (pig)
Lineage: Eukaryota; Metazoa; Chordata; Mammalia; Artiodactyla; Suidae
Source: RefSeq, a predicted model, not a curated record